Molecule: ribosomal RNA, 239 nt
Filed under: uncultured bacterium
Lineage: Bacteria
Description: partial 16S ribosomal RNA
Rfam family: Bacterial small subunit ribosomal RNA
Source: RNAcentral
GAUCCUGGCUCAGGAUGAACGCUGGCGGCGUGCCUAACACAUGCAAGUCGAGCGAAGCACUUUGCUUAGAUUCUUCGGAUGAAGAGGAUUGUGACUGAGCGGCGGACGGGUGAGUAACGCGUGGGUAACCUGCCUCAUACAGGGGGAUAACAGUUAGAAAUGACUGCUAAUACCGCAUAAGACCACGGCACCGCAUGGUGCGGGGGUAAAAACUCCGGUGGUAUGAGAUGGACCCGCGU